GCCGGCAGCUAGCUCUCUGCAACUCUCACAUGGCCGCCCACUGAAGCUAAGCAGGGCUGUGCCCGGUCAGUACCUGGAUGGGAGACCACAUGGGAAAGUUAGGUUGCUGCUGGAA
RNAcentral lists this ribosomal RNA (115 nucleotides) under Danio rerio (zebrafish). The record is from RNAcentral. Lineage: Eukaryota; Metazoa; Chordata; Actinopteri; Cypriniformes; Danionidae.